RNAcentral lists this ribosomal RNA (492 nucleotides) under uncultured bacterium. RNAcentral describes it as "partial 16S ribosomal RNA". It matches the Rfam family "Bacterial small subunit ribosomal RNA", at positions 29 to 507 of the family's 1533-position model. The record is from RNAcentral.
AGUGAACGCUGGCGGUAGGCCUAACACAUGCAAGUCGAACGGCAGCACAGUAAGAGCUUGCUCUUACGGUUGGCGAGUGGCGGACGGGUGAGGAAUACAUCGGCAUCUACUUUUUCGUGGGGGAUAACGUAGGGAAACUUACGCUAAUACCGCAUACGACCUACGGGUGAAAGCAGGGGAUCUUCGGACCUUUCGCGAUUGAAUGAGCCGAUGUCGGAUUAGCUAGUUGGCGGGGUAAAGGCCCACCAAGGCGACGAUCCGUAGCUGGUCUGAGAGGAUGAUCAGCCACACUGGAACUGAGACACGGUCCAGACUCCUACGGGAGGCAGCAGUGGGGAAUAUUGGACAAUGGGCGAAAGCCUGAUCCAGCCAUACCGCGUGGGUGAAGAAGGCCUUCGGGUUGUAAAGCCCUUUUGUUGGGAAAGAAAAGCAGCAGAUUAAUCCCCCGCUGUUCUGACGGUACCCAAAGAAUAAGCACCGGCUAACUUCGUG